This 490-nucleotide ribosomal RNA is filed under the name uncultured bacterium. RNAcentral's name for it is "bacterial SSU rRNA". It matches the Rfam family "Bacterial small subunit ribosomal RNA", at positions 8 to 507 of the family's 1533-position model. The record is from RNAcentral.
AGAGUUUGAUCCUGGCUCAGGAUAAACGACUGGCGGCGCACAUAAGACAUGCAAGUCGAACGGACUUAACCAUAGUUUACUAUUGGAGCGGUUAGUGGCGGACUGGUGAGUAACACGUAAGCAACCUGCCUAUCAGAGGGGAACAACAGUUAGAAAUGACUGCUAAUACCGCAUAUGCCUAAGUACCACAUGGUACAAUAGGGAAAGGAGAAAUCCGCUGAUAGAUGGGCUUGCGUCUGAUUAGAUAGUUGGUGGGGUAAAGGCCUACCAAGUCAACGAUCAGUAGCCGGACUGAGAGGUUGAACGGCCACAUUGGGACUGAGAUACGGCCCAGACUCCUACGGGAGGCAGCAGUCGGGAAUAUUGCGCAAUGGAGGAAACUCUGACGCAGUGACGUCGCGUGCAGGAAGAAGGUUUUCGGAUUGUAAACUGCUUUAGACAGGGAAGAAAAAGGACAGUACCUGUAGAAUAAGCUCCGGCUAACUACGUG